GACGAACGCUGGCGGCGUGCCUAAUACAUGCAAGUUGAGCGAUGAAGAUUGGUGCUUGCACCAAUUUGAAGAGCAGCGAACGGGUGAGUAACGCGUGGGGAAUCUGCCUUUGAGCGGGGGACAACAUUUGGAAACGAAUGCUAAUACCGCAUAACAACUUUAAACAUAAGUUUUAAGUUUGAAAGAUGCAAUUGCAUCACUCAAAGAUGAUCCCGCGUUGUAUUAGCUAGUUGGUGAGGUAAAGGCUCACCAAGGCGAUGAUACAUAGCCGACCUGAGAGGGUGAUCGGCCACAUUGGGACUGAGACACGGCCAAAACUCCUACGGGAGGCAGCAGUAGGGAAUCUUAGGCAAUGGACGAAAGUCUGACCGAGCAACGCCGCGUGAGGGAAGAAGGGUGUCGGAUCGGAAAACUCUGUUGGUAGAGAAGAACGUUGGUGAGAGUGGAAAGCUCAUCAAGUGACGGUAACUACACAGAAAGGGACGGCUAACUACGUG
This 497-nucleotide ribosomal RNA is filed under the name uncultured bacterium. RNAcentral's name for it is "partial 16S ribosomal RNA". It matches the Rfam family "Bacterial small subunit ribosomal RNA", at positions 28 to 507 of the family's 1533-position model. The record is from RNAcentral.